UGUUUUUAUUAUUAAUAGAAAUUUGAUCAUCUGCAAAGAGAAGAAAACUGUUCUAAACUUUGAACGACCCAGAAUAUUAUUUGUUAAUGAAUCGUUUGCCAAAGAUGCAUCUUUAACUGCGAGAAGAUAUAAUCGAUCAAAUCCACUUUAUUUUGUUUCCGCGGAAUUUGAAUUGCUGCGACCUAUGGACAAUUCUUUUGUGUUCAAUAUCUACAUAUACCAGCUCGUUACUAGACUAUAUAAACAAAGUUUUAUAGAUUAUCGCAUAGGUUCCUGUGACAU
This 282-nucleotide unclassified non-coding RNA is filed under the name Melitaea cinxia (Glanville fritillary). Its description in RNAcentral is "misc RNA ENSMCXG00005016219.1". Lineage: Eukaryota; Metazoa; Arthropoda; Insecta; Lepidoptera; Nymphalidae. The record is from RNAcentral.